Molecule: ribosomal RNA, 273 nt
Filed under: uncultured bacterium
Lineage: Bacteria
Description: partial 16S ribosomal RNA
Rfam family: Bacterial small subunit ribosomal RNA
Source: RNAcentral
AUACGUAUGUCGCAAGCGUUAUCCGGAAUUAUUGGGCGUAAAGCGAGUCUAGGCGGCUUGUUAAGUCAGAUGUGAAAAUGCGGGGCUCAACUCCGUAUUGCGUUUGAAACUGGCAGGCUAGAGUACUGGAGAGGCGGGCGGAACUACAAGUGUAGAGGUGAAAUUCGUAGAUAUUUGUAGGAAUGCCGAUAGUGAAGACAGCUCACUGGACAGAUACUGACGCUAAAGCUCGAAAGCGUGGGUAGCGAACAGGAUUAGAAACCCCGGUAGUCC